RNAcentral lists this unclassified non-coding RNA (432 nucleotides) under soil metagenome. Its description in RNAcentral is "partial contains 5.8S ribosomal RNA, internal transcribed spacer 2, and large subunit ribosomal RNA". The stretch from base 1 to 120 matches the Rfam family "5.8S ribosomal RNA", at positions 35 to 154 of the family's 154-position model. The record is from RNAcentral.
GAUGAAGAACGUAGCGAAAUGCGAUACGUAAUGUGAAUUGCAGAAUUCAGUGAAUCAUCGAAUCUUUGAACGCAUAUUGCGCUCUCUGGUAUUCCGGAGAGCAUGCUUGUUUGAGUAUCAGUAAACACCUCAACUUCCAUAUCUUUUUUGAAAUGGGAGUUGGACUUGAGUGAUCCCAACGCUUUUCCUCACCGAAAAGUAGCGGGUUACUUGAAAUGCAGGUGCAGCUGGACUUUUCUCUGAGCUAUAAGCAUAUCUAUUUAGUCUGCCUAAAAAACAGAUUAUUACCUUUGCUGCAGCUAACAUAAAGGAGAUUAGUUCUUGUGCUGACUGAUGCAGGAUUCACAAAGACGGCUUCGGCCGACUUUGUAAACUCGAUCUCAAAUCAAGUAAGACUACCCGCUGAACUUAAGCAUAUCAAUAAGCGGAGGA